UGCAGUCGAACGAUGAAGCCGGGUGCUUGCACCGGGUGGAUUAGUGGCGAACGGGUGAGUAUCACGUGAGUAACCUGCCCUUGACUCUGGGAUAAGCCUGGGAAACUGGGUCUAAUACCGGAUAUGACCAGUCCUCGCAUGGGGUGCUGGUGGAAAGAUUUAUCGGUCUUGGAUGGACUCGCGGCCUAUCAGUUUGUUGGUGAGGUAAUGGCUCACCAAGGCGAUGACGGGUAGCCGGCCUGAGAGGGUGACCGGCCACACUGGGACUGAGACACGGCCCAGACUCCUACGGGAGGCAGCAGUGGGGAAUAUUGCACAAUGGGCGCAAGCCUGAUGCAGCGACGCCGCGUGCGGGAUGACGGCCUUCGGGUUGUAAACCGCUUUCAGCAGGGAAGAAGCUUUUUGUGACGGUACCUGCAGAAGAAGCGCCGGCUAACUACGUGCCAGCAGCCGCGGUAAUACGUAGGGCGCGAGCGUUAUCCGGAAUUAUUGGGCGUAAAGGGCUCGCAGGCGGUUUGCCACGUCUGCUGUGAAAGCCCGGGGCUUAACUCCGGGUGUGCAGUGGGUACGGGUAGACUAGAGUGCAGUAGGGGAGACUGGAAUUCCUGGUGUAGCGGUGAAAUGCGCAGAUAUCAGGAAGAACACCGAUGGCGAAGGCAGGUCUCUGGGCUGUUACUGACGCUGAGGAGCGAAAGCAUGGGGAGCGAACAGGAUUAGAUACCCUGGUAGUCCAUGCCGUAAACGUUGGGCACUAGGUGUGGGGGACAUUCCACGUUUUCCGCGCCGUAGCUAACGCAUUAAGUGCCCCGCCUGGGGAGUACGGCCGCAAGGCUAAAACUCAAAGGAAUUGACGGGGGCCCGCACAAGCGGCGGAGCAUGCGGAUUAAUUCGAUGCACGCGAGACCUUACCACGCUUGACAUGGACCG
This 927-nucleotide ribosomal RNA is filed under the name Nesterenkonia halobia. RNAcentral describes it as "bacterial SSU rRNA". It matches the Rfam family "Bacterial small subunit ribosomal RNA", at positions 56 to 993 of the family's 1533-position model. The record is from RNAcentral. Lineage: Bacteria; Bacillati; Actinomycetota; Actinomycetes; Micrococcales; Micrococcaceae.